This 591-nucleotide ribosomal RNA is filed under the name Meripilus vitreus. RNAcentral's name for it is "eukaryotic LSU rRNA". It matches the Rfam family "Eukaryotic large subunit ribosomal RNA", at positions 73 to 648 of the family's 3401-position model. The record is from RNAcentral. Lineage: Eukaryota; Fungi; Basidiomycota; Agaricomycetes; Polyporales; Meripilaceae.
GAUUCCCCUAGUAACUGCGAGUGAAGCGGGAAAAGCUCAAAUUUAAAAUCUGGCAGUCUUUGGCUGUCCGAGUUGUAUUCUAGAGAAGCGCUUUCCGUGCCGGACCGUGUACAAGUCUCUUGGAACAGAGCGUCAUAGAGGGUGAGAAUCCCGUCUUUGACACGGACUACCGGUGCUUUGUGAUGCGUUUUCAAAGAGUCGAGUUGUUUGGGAAUGCAGCUCAAAAUGGGUGGUAAAUUCCAUCUAAAGCUAAAUAUUGGCGAGAGACCGAUAGCGAACAAGUACCGUGAGGGAAAGAUGAAAAGCACUUUGGAAAGAGAGUUAAACAGUACGUGAAAUUGCUGAAAGGGAAACGCUUGAAGUCAGUCGCGUCGUUCAGAACUCAGCCUGGCUUUUGCUUGGUGCACUUUCUGAAUGACGGGCCAGCAUCAAUUUUGACUGUUGGAUAAAGGCCAGAGAAAUGUGGCUCCUUUGGGAGUGUUAUAGUCUCCGGUUGCAUACAAUGGUUAGGAUUGAGGAACUCAGCAUGCCUUUAUGGUCGGGGUUCGCCCACGUUCAUGCUUAGGAUGCUGGCGUAAGGCUUUAAACGAU